UGAGCAACCUGCCUUUCANAGGGGGAUAACAGUUGGAAACGACUGCUAAUACCGCAUAACGCUGCGAUGGGGCAUCCCGAUGCAGCCAAAGGAGCAAUCCGCUGGAAGAUGGGCUCGCGGCCGAUUAGCUAGUUGGUGGGGCAACGGCCCACCAAGGCGACGAUCAGUAGCCGGACUGAGAGGUUGGCCGGCCACAUUGGGACUGAGAUACGGCCCAGACUCCUACGGAAGGCAGCAG
This 238-nucleotide ribosomal RNA is filed under the name uncultured bacterium. Its description in RNAcentral is "partial 16S ribosomal RNA". It matches the Rfam family "Bacterial small subunit ribosomal RNA", at positions 118 to 354 of the family's 1533-position model. The record is from RNAcentral.